UGAACGCCAGUAUAUGGAUAUAGGAGUUGGGCACCAGUUGUGCGAAGCCUACUCCAAUAAACCCUAAGAGGGUAACUAUGAAGGCGUGGAGGGGUAGACGAAUCCCCUUCUCCAGCAGAGUAGUCGGCAUAGCGACCCAGCCGUCUGGUCGCUGGUACAUUCGCUCCUCAGCAGCUGGAGCCCUCAUAGCAAAGUUAUCCGGAACAUGGUAUCGAAUCCGGAGAGCUCGUAGUUCAGAUUCAGAGACGGUGGAGGUGAUGUUAGCGUGAGGAAAUUUUUCCCCAUCUUUGAAGAAAUCAGAUGGAGAUGGUGAACCUGCACUUGAACCCUCUUGAUUAGGGUUUGAAUGAGAAGAAC
This 357-nucleotide long non-coding RNA is filed under the name Panax ginseng (ginseng). Its description in RNAcentral is "long non-coding RNA (PGIN_LNC001220)". The record is from RNAcentral. Lineage: Eukaryota; Viridiplantae; Streptophyta; Magnoliopsida; Apiales; Araliaceae.